CUUCCUCCCAAACCCAAAAUUCCAACUGACCAAUACUCCAUGUAAGGCUGGACACGGUUUGAUGCUUCUCCUACUGAAGGAUCAGAUUCAGCACAGCAUAGUUUGCAAAAAGCCAAAGCAGCCCUACUGUGUUUCAAUUUUGUGAAUGAUCUGAAACAGCCUUUAACUAUCAGGCCAGUGCUUUUCCUCCAGCGCUGCUCCUCGCCCCUUAGAGCAGCGGUGACCAGCUUCCGUCUUGAUGGAGGAGUGGAAGACUUUAGAGCUGCUGCUGACUGACCCGACUUCGCCUCACACAGCUCUGGGACCGUCUGGGCGCUCUUGGGAUGGAGAGCAAGACCAGUUAUGAUUACAGACACCUUGAGCCCCUGCGGCUCGCCCAGCCCCACGCUGGCUCAGGAGGAAGGAGUGGUUGCCCUGGACCCAGUCAUGAAAAGGAUGCUUAGGUUCUCAUACCUUCAUGUUACUCAGAGAAACUAGCGCCUGUAUUCUUCCUUCCUCCCACAGGACACAGAGCUGUGCCUCCUGUGAGGCCCUGUGCACUACCUUAGUGCUCAAGACCCAGACUUACCCGCAUGAAAAAAAAAACAAAACUGUUUUUGGAGGGGGUCUGGCAUGUGACUUGCUUUGGGCCGGACCUCUGUGCCCCAGGACGUUUGCAUCACUGUUAUUGUGGCCAUGUGCCCUUGUUGGUUUGGGGUCUCUUGGGUGUACAUACCGCCUGGCUACCUAGAUGACCUUGAACAAUUGCCUGGAGUGUCUUGGCACCGAUACCAUUUAUUACGCUUUGUUUCCCAGCCCUAAUGUCAGAUGUAGGUUGAUUUUAGUUGCUUUAUACAUUCAGGCAUUGUCACCAAGCUCAACAUAAUUAACUUCAGAGCUGCCCAAGUUUCAUGCAUUGCCGUUUGCUCGGUAGCUUUAGUUUUUACUCUCUGUUUUGGGGAAAAAAAUAAAAACACGUUGUAAUAAG
Molecule: long non-coding RNA, 967 nt
Organism: Psammomys obesus (fat sand rat)
Lineage: Eukaryota; Metazoa; Chordata; Mammalia; Rodentia; Muridae
Exons: 3
Source: RefSeq, a predicted model, not a curated record